GUGGGGAAUAUUGGGCAAUGGGGGAAACCCUGACCCAGCAACGCCGCGUGAAGGAAGAAGGUUUUCGGAUCGUAAACUUCUAUCCUUGGUGAAGAUAAUGACGGUAGCCAAGAAGGAAGCCCCGGCUAACUACGUGCCAGCAGCCGCGGUAAUGCGUAGGGGGCAAGCGUUGUCCGGAAUGAUUGGGCGUAAAGGGCGCGUAGGCGGCCUGGUAAGUCUGGAGUGAAAGUCCUGCUUUUAAGGUGGGAAUUGCUUUGGAUACUGUCGGGCUUGAGUGCAGGAGAGGUAAGCGGAAUUCCCGGUGUAGCGGUGAAAUGCGUAGAGAUCGGGAGGAACACCAGUGGCGAAGGCGGCUUACUGGACUGUAACUGACGCUGAGGCGCGAAAGUGUGGGGAGCAAACAGGAUUAGAAACCCGUGUAGUCC
This 425-nucleotide ribosomal RNA is filed under the name uncultured bacterium. RNAcentral describes it as "partial 16S ribosomal RNA". It matches the Rfam family "Bacterial small subunit ribosomal RNA", at positions 354 to 796 of the family's 1533-position model. The record is from RNAcentral.